CACGGUGUGGCAUCACACAGAGGUCAAAGGAGAAAUCCGCUGAAGGAUGGGCUCGCGUCCAAUUAGCUAGAUGGUGAGGUAACGGCCCACCAUGGCGACGAUUGGUAGCCGGACUGAGAGGUUGAUCGGCCACAUUGGGACUGAGACACGGCCCAGACUCCUACGGGAGGCAGCAGUGGGGAAUAUUGCACAAUGGAGGAAACUCUGAUGCAGCGACGCCGCGUGAGGGAAGAAGGUCUUCGGAUUGUAAACCUCUGUUGUCAGGGACGAUGAUGACGGUACCUGACGAGGAAGCCACGGCUAACUACGUGCCAGCAGCCGCGGUAAAACGUAGGUGGCAAGCGUUGUCCGGAAUUACUGGGUGUAAAGGGAGCGCAGGCGGGAGAGCAAGUUGGGAGUGAAAUCUGUGGGCUCAACCCACAAAUUGCUUUCAAAACUGUUUUUCUUGAGUGGUGUAGAGGUAGGCGGAAUUCCCGGUGUAGCGGUGGAAUGCGUAGAUAUCGGGAGGAACACCAGUGGCGAAGGCGGCCUACUGGGCACUAACUGACGCUGAGGCUCGAAAGCAUGGGUAGCAAACAGGAUUAGAUACCCUGGUAGUCCAUGCCGUAAACGAUGAUUACUAGGUGUGGGAGGAUUGACCCCUUCCGUGCCGCAGU
This 656-nucleotide ribosomal RNA is filed under the name uncultured bacterium. RNAcentral describes it as "bacterial SSU rRNA". It matches the Rfam family "Bacterial small subunit ribosomal RNA", at positions 179 to 852 of the family's 1533-position model. The record is from RNAcentral.